This 877-nucleotide ribosomal RNA is filed under the name Oculimacula yallundae. Its description in RNAcentral is "partial large subunit ribosomal RNA". It matches the Rfam family "Eukaryotic large subunit ribosomal RNA", at positions 59 to 953 of the family's 3401-position model. Lineage: Eukaryota; Fungi; Ascomycota; Leotiomycetes; Helotiales; Ploettnerulaceae. The record is from RNAcentral.
AAGAAACCAACAGGGAUUACCUCAGUAACGGCGAGUGAAGCGGUAACAGCUCAAAUUUGAAAGCUAGCUCUUUUAGGGUUCGCAUUGUAAUUUGUAGAAGAUGCUUCGGGUGUGGCCCCGGUCUAAGUUCCUUGGAACAGGACGUCAUAGAGGGUGAGAAUCCCGUAUGUGACUGGGUGCUUUCGCUCAUGUGAAGCUCUUUCGACGAGUCGAGUUGUUUGGGAAUGCAGCUCAAAAUGGGUGGUAAAUUUCAUCUAAAGCUAAAUAUUGGCCAGAGACCGAUAGCGCACAAGUAGAGUGAUCGAAAGAUGAAAAGCACUUUGGAAAGAGAGUUAAACAGUACGUGAAAUUGUUGAAAGGGAAGCGCUUGCAACCAGACUUGCGCGCUGAUGAUCAUCCGGGCUUCUGUCCGGUGCACUCGUCUGCGCUCAGGCCAGCAUCGGUUUCGGUGGUGGGAUAAAGGCCUUGGGAAUGUAGCUCCUCUCGGGGAGUGUUAUAGCCCUCGGUGCAAUGCCGCCUAUCGGGACCGAGGACCGCGCUUCGGCUAGGAUGCUGGCGUAAUGGUUGUAAGCGACCCGUCUUGAAACACGGACCAAGGAGUCUAACAUCUAUGCGAGUGUUUGGGUGUCAAACCCAUACGCGUAAUGAAAGUGAACGGAGGUGAGAACCCUUAAGGGUGCAUCAUCGACCGGUCCUGAUGUCUUCGGAUGGAUCUGAGUAAGAGCAUAGCUGUUGGGACCCGAAAGAUGGUGAACUAUGCGUGAAUAGGGUGAAGCCAGAGGAAACUCUGGUGGAGGCUCGCAGCGGUUCUGACGUGCAAAUCGAUCGUCAAAUUUGCGUAUAGGGGCGAAAGACUAAUCGAACCAUCUAGUAGCUG